RNAcentral lists this ribosomal RNA (486 nucleotides) under Eulecanium kuwanai. RNAcentral describes it as "SSU rRNA". It matches the Rfam family "Eukaryotic small subunit ribosomal RNA", at positions 51 to 446 of the family's 1831-position model. The record is from RNAcentral. Lineage: Eukaryota; Metazoa; Arthropoda; Insecta; Hemiptera; Coccidae.
AUGCAUGUCUAAGUGCAAGCCGUCCCGCACGGUGAAACUGCGAAAGGCUCAUUAAAUCAGUUAUGGUUCCUUAGAUCGUACCCACGUUACAUGGAUAACUGUGGUAAUUCUAGAGCUAAUACAUGCCAACAGAGCUCCGACCAGCGGCCGGGUCGCCGACGGCGGUUCGCCCGUCGUCGCGCCCGACGUUCGGAAGGAGCGCUUUUAUUAGAUCAAAACCGGCCAAGCGCGUCGUUCGCGCUUCGCGCGCGAACGCGCGUAAGUGGCCCGCGCAAAGACUUGACGACUCUGAAUAACUUCGAGCAGAUCGCACGGUCUCCGUACCGGCGACGAAUCUUUCAAAUGUCUGCCUUAUCAACUGUCGACGGUAGGUUCUACGCCUACCGUGGUGGUAACGGGUAACGGGGAAUCAGGGUUCGAUUCCGGAGAGGGAGCCUGAGAAACGGCUACCACAUCCAAGGAAGGCAGCAGGCGCGUAAAUUAUCC